Molecule: ribosomal RNA, 471 nt
Filed under: uncultured bacterium
Lineage: Bacteria
Description: bacterial SSU rRNA
Rfam family: Bacterial small subunit ribosomal RNA
Source: RNAcentral
UGGGGAAUCUUGCGCAAUGGGCGAAAGCCUGACGCAGCGACGCCGCGUGAGUGAUGAAGGCCUUCGGGUUGUAAAGCUCUGUGGGGAGAGAAGAAUAAGUGCGGGCUAAUACUCCGCAUGAUGACGGUAUCUCCUUAGCAAGCACCGGCUAACUCUGUGCCAGCAGCCGCGGUAAGACAGAGGGUGCAAACGUUGUUCGGAAUUACUGGGCGUAAAGCGAGUGUAGGCGGUUUGGUAAGUCGGAUGUGAAAGCCCCGGGCUCAACCCGGGAAGUGCACUCGAUACUGCCAAGCUAGAGUAUCGGAGAGGUUGGUGGAAUUCUCGGUGUAGAGGUGAAAUUCGUAGAUAUCGAGAGGAACACCGGUGGCGAAGGCGGCCAACUGGACGAAUACUGACGCUGAGGCGCGAAAGCAUGGGGAGCAAACAGGAUUAGAUACCCCAGUAGUCCCUGAGCGGGCUGGCAAGGCGCAU